GCCGGGCAUGGUGGCUCAUGCCUGUAAUCCCAGCAUUUUGGGAGGCUGAGGCGGGUGGAUCCCUUGAGGUCAGGAGUUCGAGACCAGCCUGGCCAACAUGGCGAAACCCCGUCUCUA
Homo sapiens (human) is the source of this 117-nucleotide non-coding RNA. It matches the Rfam family "Metazoan signal recognition particle RNA". Rfam says of the family: The signal recognition particle (SRP) is a universally conserved ribonucleoprotein. It is involved in the co-translational targeting of proteins to membranes. The eukaryotic SRP consists of a 300-nucleotide 7S RNA and six proteins: SRPs 72, 68, 54, 19, 14, and 9. NCBI's taxonomy places the organism in Eukaryota, Metazoa, Chordata, Mammalia, Primates, Hominidae. The record is from Rfam.